GGGUGGUAAUGCCGGAUGUUCCACAUGAUCGCAUGUGAUUGUGGGAAAGAUUCUAUCGGCGUGGGAUGGGGUCGCGUCCUAUCAGCUUGUUGGUGAGGUAACGGCUCACCAAGGCUUCGACGGGUAGCCGGCCUGAGAGGGCGACCGGCCACAUUGGGACUGAGAUACGGCCCAGACUCCUACGGGAGGCAGCAGUGGGGAAUAUUGCACAAUGGGCGCAAGCCUGAUGCAGCGACGCCGCGUGAGGGAUGGAGGCCUUCGGGUUGUAAACCUCUUUUGUUUGGGAGCAAGCCUUCGGGUGAGUGUACCUUUCGAAUAAGCGCCGGCUAACUACGUGCCAGCAGCCGCGGUAAUACGUAGGGCGCAAGCGUUAUCCGGAUUUAUUGGGCGUAAAGGGCUCGUAGGCGGCUCGUCGCGUCCGGUGUGAAAGUCCAUCGCUUAACGGUGGAUCUGCGCCGGGUACGGGCGGGCUGGAGUGCGGUAGGGGAGACUGGAAUUCCCGGUGUAACGGUGGAAUGUGUAGAUAUCGGAAAAGAACACCA
RNAcentral lists this ribosomal RNA (542 nucleotides) under Bifidobacterium bifidum. Its description in RNAcentral is "bacterial SSU rRNA". It matches the Rfam family "Bacterial small subunit ribosomal RNA", at positions 158 to 711 of the family's 1533-position model. The record is from RNAcentral. Lineage: Bacteria; Bacillati; Actinomycetota; Actinomycetes; Bifidobacteriales; Bifidobacteriaceae.